RNAcentral lists this ribosomal RNA (441 nucleotides) under Salmonella enterica subsp. enterica serovar Typhimurium. Its description in RNAcentral is "partial 23S ribosomal RNA". It matches the Rfam family "Bacterial large subunit ribosomal RNA", at positions 137 to 584 of the family's 2925-position model. Lineage: Bacteria; Pseudomonadati; Pseudomonadota; Gammaproteobacteria; Enterobacterales; Enterobacteriaceae. The record is from RNAcentral.
GAUUCGUCACACUAUCAUUAACUGAAUCCAUAGGUUAAUGAGGCGAACCGGGGGAACUGAAACAUCUAAGUACCCCGAGGAAAAGAAAUCAACCGAGAUUCCCCCAGUAGCGGCGAGCGAACGGGGAGGAGCCCAGAGCCUGAAUCAGCAUGUGUGUUAGUGGAAGCGUCUGGAAAGGCGCGCGAUACAGGGUGACAGCCCCGUACACAAAAGCGCAUGUGCUGUGAGCUCGAUGAGUAGGGCGGGACACGUGGUAUCCUGUCUGAAUAUGGGGGGACCAUCCUCCAAGGCUAAAUACUCCUGACUGACCGAUAGUGAACCAGUACCGUGAGGGAAAGGCGAAAAGAACCCCGGCGAGGGGAGUGAAAAAGAACCUGAAACCGUGUACGUACAAGCAGUGGGAGCCCCACCACUAAGCCAGUGGUGAACUCCACAUCCGCA